UGACCUCGGGCCACCGUGUAAAUCGGUC
RNAcentral lists this non-coding RNA (28 nucleotides) under Bombyx mori (domestic silkworm). Lineage: Eukaryota; Metazoa; Arthropoda; Insecta; Lepidoptera; Bombycidae. The record is from RNAcentral.